UACGAAGGUUGCAAGCGUUAAUCGGAAUUACUGGGCGUAAAGGGCGCGUAGGCGGUUUGUUAAGUCUGUUGUGAAAGCCCCCGGCUCAACUGGGGAGGGUCAUUCGAUACUGAUCGACUCGAAGGCAGGAGAGGGUAGUGGAAUUCCCGGUGUAGUGGUGAAAUGCGUAGAUAUCGGGAGGAACACCAGUGGCGAAGGCGACUACCUGGCCUGUUCUUGACGCUGAGGCGCGAAAGCUAGGGGAGCAAACGGG
This 253-nucleotide ribosomal RNA is filed under the name uncultured bacterium. RNAcentral describes it as "partial 16S ribosomal RNA". It matches the Rfam family "Bacterial small subunit ribosomal RNA", at positions 524 to 776 of the family's 1533-position model. The record is from RNAcentral.